AUCCAGCUUACGAAUCCUAAAUAGGACGAAACACGCGUCCUGAAU
Non-coding RNA from Schistosoma haematobium, 45 nucleotides. The record is from Rfam. Lineage: Eukaryota; Metazoa; Platyhelminthes; Trematoda; Strigeidida; Schistosomatidae.